UGAGAAGCAAAAUGUCUUCAAAGAAAAAAAACAAGGAAGUCCAGUUGCCUCCUGAAAAAGCCCCUUUGGGAAAAGGUAGAACUAUUUCUAAUCAUGGAGAAGAGGAACCAACAAAUUCACAAGCAUAGAUAAGACCAGAGUAAUGUCCUCUGCCCUCAAAAGAUGAAGAAUCCACUUUCCUAAGCAGUGUCAGGAAACAAAAUCAUAAUCUAAUUUGACAACAACUUCAAAUGUAUACAAAUUAAAUGGAAAUUCAUGAUACAGCUAAUGAUAUUCCUUAUAACUAAAUAAGUAACUAAAUGAAUUGUAAAUCAGGUAUCUACAUUUGGCAAGGGCAAUUAAAUAAGAGAAUUAAUCAGAAUUCAAAUUUUUAAUUGGUAAACAAUCUGAAAUUUUGACAUCAAAAUAUGGAAAACAGAAAUUCAUAUAGUAGUUGAUGAUACUACAUCCUCGAGAUAUACUUCAAAAUGUAUUAUAAUUAGAGGAGAGUUGAUUAAAUUAUGAAUCACAUGUAUGAAUAAAUCAAUCAGUCUUGUACUCUAAGUAAUUUGAGGCAGAUAAUUGAUGGCAUCGUUUAUCAUGGACAGGAUCCAAACAACAUAUGCCAAAAUUGUUUUUUGAAAAAUGUAUUAUUUUUUCUUUCCUCUUGGAAUGCGAGAUCAUUAUGAUAUAUCAUAUACAAUUCCUAAUAGUAAUCUAGUUUCUAGUCUCAAUAACUUAGAGAUUCUCUUUAUGAAAUAUAUGUAUUUAUCUAUUCAUUUAUUUAUAUCCUGCCUUUAUUAUUUUCACAGAUAACUCAAGGUGGCAAAUAUAUCCAACACCUUCCUCCUAUUUUCCCCACAAGAACCACCCUGCAGUUGGGUUUUGGGAUCUGGCUGUACAUGUCACACCCCAACAAUGCAAUUUGUUUUGACUAGUUUGGAUCAACUUCAACUCAGACAUGGAGAUUUCCAAGUGGCAACUUGUGGAUCUGAAGACCUAAUUCCUGCCUACCUUGAGGACAAAGUAGAUUUCUAUUGUUUUGAAGUUUCCCUUUUGCAGUUCCAUGUGAGUUUCAGAGUCCUCUGAUAACUAAGUGUGAGUUUAGGUUGCUGUACAGAUGAAGAGUCCCUGAACUGUUGUUGUCUUAAUGGUGAAGAAGUUCCAAGAACUCACAGCUAGCAAUUUUUCCAAUAUCUUUGAAUGGCACUCAGUUGUAGAAGAUUGAUAAGCAGGCCUUUUUUUGAAGCACUCCUGUCUAAAAAGAGAGAGAUCAGCUGCCUUCCACCUUCAGGCAAGUGGUUUUCCUAUUCCUUUGUCCUUCUGAUUGGUCCUUAAUACAGAUGUGAGGGCAUCCUUUUCAGAUUCCAGCCAUGGCACCUUAAAUACAGUAGUUGUCUAUUUACACUGUAUAAAUAUGUGUAUGGAGAUUCCAGUCAUGAAAACAACCAC
Molecule: long non-coding RNA, 1431 nt
Organism: Thamnophis elegans (Western terrestrial garter snake)
Lineage: Eukaryota; Metazoa; Chordata; Lepidosauria; Squamata; Natricidae
Exons: 2
Source: RefSeq, a predicted model, not a curated record